AAGACUAUACUUUGAAGGAUCAUUUCUAUAGUCUGUGACUGGAGAAAUCGUGGACUGAACAGUCCGGUCUCACAACCACGAGGAGGAGCUGUGGCGUUUUCUCCUGAGCGCGAAGCGGGCCGCAAGCUUUGUUUUACACAGCGGUUUGCGGGCAUUGAUGACCGUUCCCUUCUCCCAGUGCGGGAGUUGUGGAGGGAGGAAACGCUGUCUGAGUGGU
Molecule: small nucleolar RNA, 217 nt
Organism: Pristis pectinata (smalltooth sawfish)
Lineage: Eukaryota; Metazoa; Chordata; Chondrichthyes; Rhinopristiformes; Pristidae
Product: small nucleolar RNA U3
Exons: 1
Source: RefSeq, a predicted model, not a curated record